UAUCGUUAUCGAUAUUUAAAAUAACGAAAAUGGAGCGGGAAUCCCAAAUAUAAACGGCCGAAAAUAUAUUUUCCUAACCCAUAUUUUUAGGGCGGAUAAAGGGGAUAAAAAUUUUGUCCCAAACCAAUGCGCCGAAACUAGUUAUAUCCCUAAUUUUAUUAAUCGUUGGUGUUAUAAUGGCUAUACCCCGGUUAAUAUAGGGGAUAAGGCGAAAUAGGCGGUGCGUUAUAAAUUUUCGGUAACGGAGGUAUUAUAUCUCGUUUCCGAUUACCCGUUAAAAAAAUAUACCGGCCGGAAGGUAUAAUACCAGCCGUUUAAUUUAUUUGGUAUUAUCGCUUAUAAAAAAAUCGGUUUUUCGACCGUUCCUGGGUUGGCGUAACCGGAUAAAAUCCUCCAACCUAAAUCGAAAUUAGUAAAUGGAAAUAUAUUAUAAUAAUUGUUAUAAAAAUAUAUAUUUAUUGGGAAUUAUUACCCAAAUUAAAAUUAUUAUUAAUUAUAUCGCCAUUGGAAUUACCCGUUUAAAUAAUAAUAUUAGUUACUUCGUUUAUAUACCACGGGUUAAAUAUUUUUUCCGCGUUAUAAAUUUCGUCCAAUUGCUCGGUUUCGCGGAUUAAAAAGGUCGAAUAGGACGUAAUAAUAACGGUGCCCGCGGAUUUGGGAUCGGAUUUGUUAGCGGCGAAUUUCGUUAAUAUUGCGUAAAAUUGCGAUUGGGUUAAAAUAAUAGCCGUUCGCGGUGCAUUUGCAACGUAUAUUUUAGCCGAACCGUAAUAAUAUUUAACGUCGAAAACGGGGAAAUUGGUAACGGUUUUUUUAAACGUUUGCGAGACGAGAUUGGUAGGGAUAAAGAUUAAAAUAGGGAAAUAACCACCGGAAUCCUAAAUGGUCUGGUCGUAUUAAUAACGGAGGUAUUAUAUAUAAAUUACCGUUAAAUAAAUAAUAAUUUUACCGGUACCCAUUUUAUUAACAAACAACCAAUUUUUUAAAAUUAACUGCUCGAAUUUGAGAAAAAUAUGGGUAUUUGUAACCAAAAAAAAAUUAAUUAACGAAUUUGGAAAUUGUAAUAAUAAUUACAAAAUUUAGGAAUAUAGGACGAAAAUAAAAACCAGCGAAAAUUAUAACAAUCGUUAUAAUUUGCAGGGAUAAUGCAAAUAAUAUUUACCAGCGAAUUAAUGGGGAAAUUAAUAACGAUCGGAAAAAAUAUCGGAAAUAUCCCAGUUCGACCAAAAAUAUUUGCCUUUAAUUUUUAGGUAAUCGAGGCCUAUUCCACCGUCGAAUUCCAAACCGUUAACGGGAAAACGGUCGUUAUAAAAUUGCAAUUAAUAUAUGGCGGUUUAAAUAACGUCCGAAUUAAAAAUACAAUUAAACCAAAGAUAAUUUUUGGUUAGGAUGGAAAAUUAUGCGUGGCAAACCAAUAAAACCUCGAAAAUCCGUUCCCUGGUUUUUUUAAAAAUUUCCUCGUCGCGACGGUUAUUUUCGGCCAAACGAUCCGCGAUAAUCGAUUGGGUUUAUAUAAAAUUAAAAAAAUCGGUUUGCUGGUUAUCCCCGAAAAACUUCGGAUAAAAUUUAAUAAUAUUAGUUUUGGGUUUGGUAAUAAUAGGACGAAGGAAACGUCCCUUAUCGUACAAAUUAUUAACGAUAUUUUCCAAUAUUA
This 1651-nucleotide small RNA is filed under the name Pyricularia oryzae. RNAcentral describes it as "Magnaporthe oryzae sRNA M_BR32_EuGene_00086451". The record is from RNAcentral. Lineage: Eukaryota; Fungi; Ascomycota; Sordariomycetes; Magnaporthales; Pyriculariaceae.